GACCUACGCUGUCAGGGAGUGUUUACUUCGCCUACACUUCUGUUCCUCCCCGCCCUGGUGCUGCUCCAGGUCACAUACUCGUCCUGAGCUGGCUUCAGCCUCUGCACAGAAGUCUCCCGGAGCCAUGGCCUAGUACUCUUAUGUGAAGUCUACCAAGCUUGUGCUCAAGGGAACCGAGAUUUGCCUGAGGUUGACUGUACAUACAAAUAUUGAGCAUUUCCUCCUGGCCUCCGUGAUAAACAGAAGUUUUGAUAUUGUUAGGCGAGAUGGAAAGAAAGUAUCAAGGAGUGAGCUGAAGCCACUGCCCUUGAGAACCCUCUCGAGGAGUCUGGCCUCAUGAAGAUGCCAGAAUAAAUGGCAGUAAGAAGAAAAAGAGCAAAGAUAAGAAGAGAAAAAGAGAAGAAGAUGAAGAAACCAGCUUGAUAUGUUGGAAUCUGGUGAACAGUAACAAACUUUGGUGAAAUUUCAGGAACCCUAGCCAUUGAAAUGGAUGAGGGAACCUAUAUACAUGCACUCGACAAUGGUCUUUUUACCCUGGGAGCUCCACACAAAGAAGGGGAAAAUGGCUUUGUUGGCCUCAAAUAGAUGCUUUAUUAGAUACAAUGAAGCAGGGGACAUAGAAGCAAAAAGUAAAACAGCAGAAGAAGAAAUGAUCAAGAUUAGAUCCUGUGCUGAAAGAGAAACCAAGAAAAAAGAUGACAUUCCAGAAGAAGACAAAGGAAAUGUAAAACAAUGUGAAAUCAAUUAUGUAAAGAAAUUUCAGAGCUUCCAAGACCACAAACUUAAAAUAAGUAAAGAAGCAGUAAAAUUCUUAAAAAGAUGCAGAAAGAUGGAUUUUUGCAUGAGAUGCUUCUGGACAGAGAACCAAAUUGAAAGCCGACAGAUACUGCAAAUGACUGGGAUUUUUGUUUCUGCCUUAUCUUUUUGUGUUUUUUUCUGAAUAAAAUAUUCAGAGGAAAUGCUUUUACGGAG
Molecule: long non-coding RNA, 972 nt
Filed under: Homo sapiens (human)
Lineage: Eukaryota; Metazoa; Chordata; Mammalia; Primates; Hominidae
Description: LHRI_LNC1514.1
Source: RNAcentral